This is a long non-coding RNA of Arabidopsis thaliana (thale cress), 1961 nucleotides long. RefSeq annotates it as other RNA. Lineage: Eukaryota; Viridiplantae; Streptophyta; Magnoliopsida; Brassicales; Brassicaceae. The transcript is spliced from 4 exons. The record is from RefSeq.
UCUAUGGAUUCAUUACAUCUUUUUAGUUAUUCCGAAAAAGAAAAAGAAUAGAAAAGAGGAAGCUGUCGUUACAAUGAUGUCUAGCUUCCAUCUACGUUCAUUGAUCAAUACUUUCCAGCGAGUCAUGCGCGCGUUAGGAGACCACCGCUCUCUCGACUUCGUUCGUUCCAUUUUCGAUGUCCUUUUUUCUAGAUUCUAUUUACCACCGUCAUGAUUAAGGACAAAAUCUCAAGGCGGGUGUGAUAUGGGGAUAACCGGAUAAUCAUCAAUAACUCCCAACAAAUUGACUUUAGAGAACGACAAAAGUAGGCAAGAAAAUUAUUGGAUUGGCCAACAAUGAGAAGAUAAAAGCCAUGUUGCGUACUCGAAGCUUUAAGACACGUCUGAACAUCCAAGAGAAUGACUCAAACACCUACGGAAGUAAAACGUUUUCUAUAUGUUUCUAAAAUUUUUACUGCAUAAACCUAAAUUACUGCGAAAUAAUAUGAGUGGUGGAUUUGAGACGUUUCUAUGUCAAUCCUGCCGUUGCGUGCGUUUUUGUUUUUAAGCAACGUCAAUUAAUGCCAUACAACUAUCAAAGCAUAAACUUCAUUUUUUUCGUGGAGGUUCGGCUUCACUCUCUAUCCUAAACAUCUCCUGCAAUAAGGACACGCAAAGGUUGAUUACGAUGCUUAAACAAAACAACUUAUAAACUUAUGCAAAAUCGUGUCAUUUUUUUACCUUUCUUUUGACAGCAAGAAUCUGGCUUUUGUUUUCUUUCUCUUCAUGGACACAUUGACCGCACCAGUCUGAGAAUUCCGGUUCAUAAGUUUGCAUCUCUCUAAACAAAGAGCUGCAAUGGAAAAGCAGAAAAAAAAUAUGAUUCAACUGUGAUCUGAAAUCUUGAGGCAAGCUUCAAAGUUUCUUACUUCUGGCACCAAAGAAUCAUAUUGGCCCGACGACCAGAUGCUGUGGCUCUAGCACCAUGGACGUGGCAGCCACGGUGAAGUAUAGCUUGACCCGGUAUAUGGCAGUAAUCAAAAUAUUCCUGCUACAAAGGAAGCUACUCAAAAGGACUCAAAUACCUCUGGCUUUGGAUCUAUAUCCAUAUGUUUAUUGCAUCGUGCGCCUGCGAAAAGUAUCACAAUUCAUGUUUGCACUUCAGGAAAGUAAUAUCACAAGACUCACCUACGUCAGCAUCCCUAUCUUCACCAUUUUCAAUAAAAAAUCCAUAGUGAGAGUCAAACAUUGUUCCACACACUUCAGGAAAGAAUACUGCAAAACAACAGAGUUAAGUUUCGCUGUAUUUUCUUAAAAUAAGCUUUAACCAAUAAAAGUCUUUCGAAUGCAUUUAAGUAAAAUAUAUGUCUUGCCUUUGCAAAUAGGAAAGAUAAAAUCAUCCAUGAGUUGCUUAAGCAUAAUAUCCAGGCCAAAGUCGUCAAGUACAACACCGUAUUUACUCGUGUUGUCUGGUCUCCUGAUCGUGAAGUUUGUCUCAUUAGCCCACUUUCUGAAAUUCUCUACCUGGUUAAUCAAACAGCAGAAAAUGAACAAAAGUAAACCAAAGAGGUAAGAGCACGGCAGAUAAUAAGUGGCAAGAUGAUGGGUUAUUGUUACCUCUAAUAGCAAUUUCUCAGAGAAGUCAGGCUGAAACAUUUUAAAGACAAAAACACCAGGAAACGGUUCAGAAAUGAUACGUCUGAAGCUUUCCUCUGUGUUUUCGCUGAUCGCCUUGCGGAACGAGGGAAGCAAAAACAAUUUGGGAUCAAGUUUAUACAACCCCUUGAAACGUGGCUGCAAGAAAAGGAAACAUUGCAUAAAGAAAGUCUAAGAAAGCAAAGACGAGCAAAGGCUCCUCACCUGAUAAUUGGAUAUUAUCUCUUGCCUAUAGGUCUUGCGCCGUUUAGCCUGGAACAUUAUAUACACAUGAACUAUUCUGAGAAACUGUGGGUUUAAACAUCAGAUUCUUAUGUGUUCACAAG